UGGGGAACUUUUGGACAAUGGGCGAAAGCCUGAUCCAGCAAUGCCGCGUGUGUGAAGAAGGCCUUCGGGUUGUAAAGCACUUUUGUCCGGAAAGAAAUCCUUGGCUCUAAUACAGGUCGGGGGAUGACGGUACCGGAAGAAUAAGCACCGGCUAACUACGUGCCAGCAGCCGCGGUAAUACGUAGGGUGCAAGCGUUAAUCGGAAUUACUGGGCGUAAAGCGUGCGCAGGCGGUUUGCUAAGACCGAUGUGAAAUCCCCGGGCUCAACCUGGGAACUGCAUUGGUGACUGGCAGGCUAGAGUAUGGCAGAGGGGGGUAGAAUUCCACGUGUAGCAGUGAAAUGCGUAGAGAUGUGGAGGAAUACCGAUGGCGAAGGCAGCCCCCCUGGGCCAAUACUGACGCUCAUGCACGAAAGCGUGGGGAGCAAACAGGAUUAGAUACCCUGGGUAGUCCACGCCCCUAAACGAUGUCAACUAGUUGUUGGGGAUUCAUUUCCUUAGUAACGUAGCUAACGCGUGAAGUUGACCGCCUGGGGGAGUACGGUCGCAAGAUUAAAACUUAAAGGAAUUGACGGGGUCAUAGCUGUUUCCU
RNAcentral lists this ribosomal RNA (591 nucleotides) under uncultured bacterium. RNAcentral describes it as "partial 16S ribosomal RNA". It matches the Rfam family "Bacterial small subunit ribosomal RNA", at positions 355 to 1375 of the family's 1533-position model. The record is from RNAcentral.